CCUACGGGAGGCAGCAGUGAGGAAUAUUCCACAAUGGGGGAAACCCUGAUGGAGCGAUGCCGCGUGCAGGAAGACGCUUUUCGGAGUGUAAACUGCUUUUAAUAGGGAAGAUUAUGACGGUACCUAUAGAAAAAGGACCGGCUAACUACGUGCCAGCAGCCGCGGUAAUACGUAGGGUCCAAGCGUUAUUCGGAAUUACUGGGCGUAAAGCGUACGUAGGCGGUUUGGUAAGUUGGAUGUGAAAUCCCCCUGCUCAACGGGGUGGACUGUGUCCAAAACUACCUAACUAGAGCAUAGUAGAGGCAAGUGGAAUUUGCGGUGUAGGAGUGACAUCCGUAGAUAUCGCAAGGAACACCAAUGGCGAAGGCAGCUUGCUGGGCUAUUGCUGACGCUCAGGUACGAAAGCGUGGGGAGCGAACGGGAUUAGAUACCCCGGUAGUCCACGCCGUAAACGAUGAUCACUAACAGUAUGGAGAUUCGACCCUCUGUGUUGUAAAGCUAACGCGUUAAGUGAUCCGCCUGGGGAGUACGGGCGCAAGCUUAAAACUCAAAGGAAUUGACGG
Molecule: ribosomal RNA, 563 nt
Filed under: uncultured bacterium
Lineage: Bacteria
Description: bacterial SSU rRNA
Rfam family: Bacterial small subunit ribosomal RNA
Source: RNAcentral